GGGGCCUUGAAUUUAGUCCCACAUCGACUAGUAGCGGAAAGGUUCCAUGCCUUAAAUGGGGGGUGGAAAUCCUUUCCUCUCGAGGCGCCUUUUGAAGGGCAAACCCGUGAGGGCACCAGUCUCCCCCCGUCAGCGCUGGACGCGCGGGCCGGAGCGGCCAAAGCGGACAAUACCUCGGGAGGAACGUGGUCCUCUUUCUCUGCUAGUUUAAUGUGGGUUAUGCUGUUGCGCGAGGCUCCGGCCAAAGC
RNAcentral lists this long non-coding RNA (248 nucleotides) under Phoenix dactylifera (date palm). RNAcentral's name for it is "long non-coding RNA (PDAC_LNC005025)". Lineage: Eukaryota; Viridiplantae; Streptophyta; Magnoliopsida; Arecales; Arecaceae. The record is from RNAcentral.